GCCCGGAUAGCCCAGUUGGUAGCGCAGGGGAUUGAAAAUCCCCGUGUUGGGGGGUCGGUUCCGCCUCCGGGCACCA
This 76-nucleotide transfer RNA is filed under the name Alteromonadaceae bacterium. Its description in RNAcentral is "tRNA-Phe". It matches the Rfam family "tRNA". Rfam says of the family: Transfer RNA (tRNA) molecules are approximately 80 nucleotides in length. Lineage: Bacteria; Pseudomonadati; Pseudomonadota; Gammaproteobacteria; Alteromonadales; Alteromonadaceae. The record is from RNAcentral.